GAUGAACGCUGGCGGCGUGCUUAACACAUGCAAGUCGAACGGAAAGGCGCCUGCUUGCCGGCUCACUCGAUUGGCGAACGGGGGAGUGACACAUGGGGGUUCUGCACUUCACUUCGGGAUAAACCUGCGAGACUGGGUCUAAUACCGGGUAUGACGAUUGUUUCGAUACGAUUGUGGAAAGUUGGUCGGUGUGGGAUGCGCUCGCGGCCUAUCAGCUAGUUAGUGGGGUAGUGGCCGACGAAGGCGUUGACCGGUAGCCGGCCUGAGAGGGUGUACGCCCACAUUGCGCCUGCGAGAGGGCGCAGACUGCUACGGGAGGCAGUAGUGGGGAAUCUUGCGCAAUGGGCGCAAGCCUGAUGCAGCGACCCUGGGAGCGUGAUGCUGUGUUACGGGUGGUAAACACAUGUCGAUAGGGCCGAAGAGCAAGUGACGGUACCUGGAGAAGAAGCACCGGCUAACUACGUG
RNAcentral lists this ribosomal RNA (465 nucleotides) under uncultured bacterium. RNAcentral's name for it is "partial 16S ribosomal RNA". It matches the Rfam family "Bacterial small subunit ribosomal RNA", at positions 28 to 507 of the family's 1533-position model. The record is from RNAcentral.